RNAcentral lists this long non-coding RNA (1369 nucleotides) under Olea europaea (common olive). Its description in RNAcentral is "long non-coding RNA (OEUR_LNC008560)". The record is from RNAcentral. Lineage: Eukaryota; Viridiplantae; Streptophyta; Magnoliopsida; Lamiales; Oleaceae.
UUUUUAGUUCAAGUUUUAUCAAUGUCUAUAUGUAAUCUCUAUUUACCUUGUCCAGUAUACUUCUAUUGAAGUUUUUAUCUAUAAAAAAAGUAUUGAUAUCCCAAACUCUAAAACUCAUCACGUAAUAGCAAAAAUAAAGUUCAACUAAUUAUCAUCAUAUCUUUUCUACGCUAUUAUAUACUCAAUUAUAGCAUUUCACGUGCAUCUUACUAGUUGUCAAGAAAAAUAUUGAGUUAAAUAUUUCAAUAGUAAUUUCGUACAAUGUCACGACUCAUCAAAUUUUGUGAAACAUUUCAUUGGUCACUGAACUUUGCUCCGUCCCACUUCAUCACUCAUGAUGGAAUCUGUUAAUAGAUCUGCUCACGCGACAGACAGGAAAAUGAACUGUCCAGCUAAACGUUGAGUGAAGUGACAAAUCAAUUCCAUGUCAGCAAUUACAUCUUUGCUUAACAACUAAACAAAUCACCAAUUAAAUUCCCAACUCUAAGGUCGUGAAAUUCAAUUCUCCCAAAUCUAUUCCUGCCACGAAAUCUUUGAGGUCAUGAAUCCCAUUCAAUUCUUUUCUCACGGGAAUUCUUUUAAGGUGGUAGUAAUGAAAUUGGGGAGUACAAUGAGACUUGAUUUCAGUAAUAAUGAUAUCAAUGAAGGACAAAGUGCUGAUAUGAAGAAUGGGGAGUGCAAUGAGAGUUGGAGUCUGCCUACAAAAUUUUGUAACAUAGGUUUUGUUUUCGGUGCUGAUAAGAUAAUUCAGUAUCAAAUGUGGAUUUGCAAAAUAGAAAUUCUUUGUUCGGUACAUAUAUAGAUAACUCGGAGUCCAAUAUAAGUUUGAAUGAUGGGUAUUUUGUGUUUGGCUCUAAUAAAGAUAGCUCAAUGUUGAAUCAAGUGAUUGGAAAAAAAGGCCAUGUUGAUGAAACUACUUUGACUACUGAAGGAUUUGAAUCUUGAUGGAUCUACUUUGCUUGUUGAUGAAAUGAAGAUUUCAAAUAGUUUUAUGUGUCUUGGGAUAGACUCUAAAUUAAAUUUUGAAAGUACGUGUGUUUUAGUUACUAAAUUUCAAAAAAGCCCUCUAUUUGAACUCUUGAAUGAGAUGAAGGGAUUAAAGAUUGAUAAUUCUAAAGAGUUGCUGGGAAGAGCAAAAAAUGUGGUAGCAAUUCAUCUGUCAUCGCUAGUAACAUAUUCGUGUUUAGAAUCUGUUGACUCCAAAAAGUGUUGCCAACAGAUGUCGGAUCCACCCGCACACACGUGAACGAAAGUCCAACACGCUAAGACACGUGGACGGUCUAAAAUGAACGGAUCGAGGGCGUUGGAGUAGCUCAACAGAGUGGGACGAGAAUGUUCAGAAUCCGACGGGAUGUUUGUAUACCGAUUG